GCGCUGUGGGAUGAACCAAACGCCGGGUUAAGGCGCCCGAUGCGAGACGCUCAUGAGACCCCAUGAAAGGUGUUGGUUGCUACAGACAGCAGGACGGUGGCCAUGGAAGUCGGAAUCCGCUAAGGAGUGUGUAACAACUCACCUGCCGAAGCAACUAGCCCUGAAAAUGGAUGGCGCUUCAGCGUCGAGCCCAUACCCGGCCGUCGCGGCUGUAGGU
This 217-nucleotide ribosomal RNA is filed under the name Stylocellus sp. Borneo 14. RNAcentral's name for it is "partial 28S ribosomal RNA". It matches the Rfam family "Eukaryotic large subunit ribosomal RNA", at positions 1153 to 1368 of the family's 3401-position model. Lineage: Eukaryota; Metazoa; Arthropoda; Arachnida; Opiliones; Stylocellidae. The record is from RNAcentral.